ACAAUGAUACUCCUGUCCCUUGAUUUCAGGGGGCAGCUCGGAGCGUUCCUCGGAGGGGUGAGAUUCCCGUGA
This 72-nucleotide non-coding RNA is filed under the name Candidatus Pseudobutyricicoccus lothianensis. Its description in RNAcentral is "pemK RNA". It matches the Rfam family "pemK RNA". RNAcentral also lists the same sequence under 1 other name. The record is from RNAcentral. Lineage: Bacteria; Bacillati; Bacillota; Clostridia.